Molecule: long non-coding RNA, 204 nt
Filed under: Mytilus galloprovincialis (Mediterranean mussel)
Lineage: Eukaryota; Metazoa; Mollusca; Bivalvia; Mytilida; Mytilidae
Source: RNAcentral
UGUGCCAACUCUACAUAAAGUUUCCCAGCUUAAUUGAACAGCUUCACACAUCGGUGCCGAUAUUCCACGUAGUGCUUUACUAUUGGAGGUUGUCGGGUGUCUAACAAAGCCACACCUUACCUUUGGUCUCCAUCCAAUUACAUUCUGAUAUCUGUGAGCAGGGCAUACUGAAAUCCCGUGGUCAGUUUCAGGUCUCCAUUUCCA